This 66-nucleotide small RNA is filed under the name Salmonella enterica subsp. enterica serovar Muenchen. Its description in RNAcentral is "partial RtT sRNA". It matches the Rfam family "RtT RNA", at positions 1 to 66 of the family's 130-position model. From Rfam's summary of the family: This family represents a bacterial cis-regulatory element known as RtT RNA. The exact function of RtT is unknown although it is thought that it may be involved in changing the cellular response in relation to amino acid starvation. Lineage: Bacteria; Pseudomonadati; Pseudomonadota; Gammaproteobacteria; Enterobacterales; Enterobacteriaceae. RNAcentral also lists the same sequence under 5 other names. The record is from RNAcentral.
AUAUCUCUCUGUACGGGAAGGAUGAGAAGCUUCGACUAAGGUUCGAUUCGAGCGCAGCGAGAAAGC